CCUACGGGUGGCUGCAGUGAGGAAUAUUGGUCAAUGGGCGAGAGCCUGAACCAGCCAAGUCGCGUGAGGGAGUACUGCCCUAUGGGUUGUAAACCUCUUUUGUCGGGGAGCAAAAGCCGGACGUGUCCGGCUGUGAGAGUACCCGAAGAAAAAGCAUCGGCUAACUCCGUGCCAGCAGCCGCGGUAAUACGGAGGAUGCGAGCGUUAUCCGGAUUUAUUGGGUUUAAAGGGUGCGCAGGCGGAUUUUUAAGUCAGCGGUCAAAUCGUGGGGCUCAACCCCAUCCAGCCGUUGAAACUGGGGAUCUAGAGUGUGCGAGAGGUAUGCGGAAUGUAUGGUGUAGCGGUGAAAUGCUUAGAGAUCAUACAGAACACCGAUUGCGAAGGCAGCUUACCAAUCUAUAUCUGACGUUGAGGCACGAAAGCGUGGGGAGCAAACAGGAUUAGAUACCCUAGUAGUC
This 458-nucleotide ribosomal RNA is filed under the name uncultured bacterium. RNAcentral's name for it is "partial 16S ribosomal RNA". It matches the Rfam family "Bacterial small subunit ribosomal RNA", at positions 338 to 795 of the family's 1533-position model. The record is from RNAcentral.